Molecule: ribosomal RNA, 198 nt
Filed under: uncultured bacterium
Lineage: Bacteria
Description: partial 16S ribosomal RNA
Rfam family: Bacterial small subunit ribosomal RNA
Source: RNAcentral
ACGCUCGACACCUACGGGAAGCAGCAGUGGGGAAUAUUGCACAAUGGGGGAAACCCUGAUGCAGCGACGCCGCGUGAAGGAAGAAGUAUCUCGGUAUGUAAACUUCUAUCAGCAGGGAAGAAAGUGACGGUACCUGACUAAGAAGCCCCGGCUAACUACGUGCCAGCAGCCGNGGUAAUCUGAGCGGGCUGGCAAGGC